UCGCUAGUACCGAUUGAAUGGCUUAGUGAGACCUUUGGAUUGGGUUUACUUGGGGGGCAACUCCCAUCUAUUUCUAAAAAGUUGGUCAAACUUGGUCAUUUAGAGGAACUAA
RNAcentral lists this ribosomal RNA (112 nucleotides) under uncultured eukaryote. RNAcentral describes it as "partial small subunit ribosomal RNA". It matches the Rfam family "Eukaryotic small subunit ribosomal RNA", at positions 1676 to 1785 of the family's 1831-position model. The record is from RNAcentral.